CCCGGUAUUGUGUCCUCUCUCCCGGUGUUGUGUGCUCUCUCCCGGUAUUGUGUCCUCUCUCCCGGUGUUGUGUGCUCUCUCCCGGUGUAGUGUGUCUUUCCGAACGGACGAGGCGCUGUUAAACACACACUCGAUACUUAGCGCACACCGACCGUCAUUCUCUCUCUCUCUGCUUGGAGUGUAUUUGGAGACCUCCAUGGCCACGGGGAGUUGAGAGGGCAAGACGGAAAGGCUUGUUGUCUUUCCCGUUUUAAUACUACCCAAGUUGUCCUUAUGCCGCGUUUCACACACUACUGUUCUCGCCACUAUCUCCGAUGCGGUGGAAAACGGGGUGCGGGCUUUCAGAUACGGUAGGUUGUAUACUUUAAGCCGCUAAAUACGGGAUGUUUUGGUUUUAUUUUGUAGGUAGCUUGUUAGCCCUUUAGCCAAGCGGCGGGGGGUGAAACGUGCCUUCGCUUUCUUCUUGUGUGUUUUGAUCCGUGACCGAAGGGGCUGGUUGCGCUUUGAUCGAUCAAACGGCGUCGGGAUGUUCGUAUCCCGUCCGGGUUAGUUUAGUAAUCUGGCUCAUGUUUACUGUGUUAAAGUAGUGUGUUGCGGGCCACCUCAAGGGGCUGAGUGGAGGACAGGGAAGGCAGCAGGCCCGUCUUGUGUGGAGUUUGUUGCCUUGUCCCCCCCCACCGUCUUUCGGAGAGGCGGAGAUGAAUGGGAUCUCACUUCAACGCGAUGGGAGGGAGAGGCUGGCUACGGUACCGGAGGAAGCGAGAGGACUGGACUAACCGGCUGGCUACGGUACCGGAGGAAGCGAGAGGACUGGACUAACCGGCUGGCUACGGUACCGGAGGAAGCGAGAGGACUGGACUAACCGGCUGGCUACGGUACCGGAGGAAGCGAGAGGACUGGACUAACCGGCUGGUUACGGUACCGGAGGAAGCGAGAGGACUGGACUAACCGGCUGGCUACGGUACCGGAGGAAGCGAGAGGACUGGACUAACCGGCUGGCUACGGUACCGGAGGAAGCGAGAUACGGUACCGGAGGAAGCGAGAGGAAUGGACUAACCGGAUAGUUACGGAAGAACCUCUCAUCUCCAGCUGUUCUAGAGGUGUGGGUGUGACCGGUGCCCGACCCAGUGGUCCCCGACCAGAGACAUGAGUGUGGUCCGAGACCCACAGGGGGCGUACA
Oncorhynchus keta (chum salmon) is the source of this 1180-nucleotide RNA transcript. RefSeq lists it as uncharacterized. The transcript is spliced from 2 exons. The record is from RefSeq and is a predicted model, not a curated record. Lineage: Eukaryota; Metazoa; Chordata; Actinopteri; Salmoniformes; Salmonidae.